Molecule: small nuclear RNA, 19 nt
Filed under: Arabidopsis thaliana (thale cress)
Lineage: Eukaryota; Viridiplantae; Streptophyta; Magnoliopsida; Brassicales; Brassicaceae
Description: snRNA_17425
Source: RNAcentral
GUAAACAAGGUAGAUGAGG